UUUAUAAUGCUAAAGAAAGUCGCGCUUUGGAUCGAUUGAUCUGCAUCAGACUCAAGGGUGAAUCUAGAGGUGAGUGCACCACUAAAGAAAGGAGGAAAAAAACAUAGAUUGGGAAUUGAUCCAUCAUCCUUGUACCUCUAGUAAGUAACUUAGCUUUCAACCUAGUGCAAAACGAAGUCCUUUUGUAAUAUAGUGAGAGCUGAAAUCAGGAAUUCACUAAUGGAGUUAGAGAAAUCAGUAGCUGCACAGGGGAAGUACAGAGAUUGUCUGGGUGUUCCAGCUCAAUAGAUGGAACAUAAGAAGAUAGAGUAGAAUUUCAGUAGUAACUUUGUAGUAUAUUCAAUUGAUGAUUGGAUCUAUAAUGAUACCAUGCCUUUUAUAGAAAUGAGAGAGAAUCUAAUUUGCUAACUGCUUCUAGCUAAUUCAACAACCAAUAACUAAUUGCUGAUUUGGCAAGCUAACUAACUUGACCAGCUGAUUCAUUUUCGUGUAACAUGUAGGUGCGAGAAGUUAAUAUUAGAUCAAUUCUAGAUAGUAUAUACAUACAAUCUAGUUUUACGGAAAGACCACGGGAUCAUGUGCUCUAUAACUUACCUACUAAAUUCACUCCGAUCAGAAUGACUUCACAAGGGGGGAUUUACCAACAUACUCAAACGGGUCGUUUGGUACGCGGGAUAAGGUGAAAUGUCCCAUAAUGAAGUUUGGUACUAAUUUUAUACCAUGUUUGAUUAAUGGUAAAUCUAUCUCAAAACUAAUUAUACCAUCAAUCAGACAUGGUAUAAUCUAAUACCAAACUUAGUCUUUGGAUAUCACACCUUAUUCCAUCCAACAUGAGAUUAAUUUAUGCCACCUCCCUUAUAAGAUAAAUUAGUCCAGGUAUUAAUCCCGGGAUGAUUUAGUCUACGUACCAAACGAUUCCUUUGUGCUGCUCUGGUAUUUUUAUUGAUGACCUUAAAUAAUCACAAUGUUUAUGAGUGCUAAUGUAUAAGGAUUUGAAGUUACAUUUUUGUAUACUGUUCAUUGCAUGUCUCUUCUUUUGUGUUUUGACUUUAUCUUCUUUUUUGCCCCACCUUUACGCAAAUAAUAAAGAAGGAACUACUAUUGCUGAAUUCACUAUUUACCCUUAUGCUGUAAAUAUUUUGUCUCCUGAAGAUGUAAAAAGUCGUUCGGAUAGAGUUUAAAAAGUUACUUUUAUAGCUCUGGAUAUUAGUUUUUUUGGGGGAGGGGGGAUUGUAACUUCUAGUUAGAAAGUUCAUAUGUUGUAAAUAUUUUGUCUCCAGAAGCUGUAAAAAGUCGUUCGGAUAGAGUUUAAAAAGUUACUUUUAUAGCUUUGGAUAUUAUUUUUUUCGCGGGAGGGGGAGAUUGUAACUUCUAAUUAGAAAGUUCAUAUGAGUUCCCUUUGUUAGAAAUAACUUCUCUCUUUUAAAGAUAUUUAAUAUGGCCCAUAUAUUAGGUAUAAAUUAUUUACCUUGUCUCCGACAGUCUUAUCAAAGGCAAAAAACACAAAAAAGUUCUAAAGUCCGUUGGUGCUUUAAGUGCAAAGUGUAAAUAAAGCGUGAACUUUAAUGGAAAAAGACAAUAAUGGAAGAAAACUACAAAUAUAUGUGUAGUCUAAAACUAAUUAUUAUAAUAAGGAAUAAUAAAUAUAUGAAUAAAGAUAUUGAAAAACAAUUACUUACAAAGUGUUGCUUCUUCAGGAUUACUCUAAUUGACCAGUAAAAUUAGUCUUAGAGCCUUGAUAAUAGCGCUCGUUAAGCGACAGGAAACACUCAACAUAUUUUGUGCCGCUUCAUGUUAUGCAAAUAUAUCCAAAAAAUUCCCUUGGAUGGAAUAAAAUGUGUUAUUUAAGUCCUUAGGGCAACCACAUUUUACGAAAAAGCCCCUAGGUUUAAAGUUUAGGCCUGAGCGUCUCUAGCCUACCUAUAUAAAUGCUUGUAACUUCAUUAGUUUGGCACGCCUCUUUGGAUAGCCGCCUGUAAACUGAAAGACAUUCCCUUACGCUUGAAGAAUUACGGUGGCACCUUUUAUGAUGUCAUUUUUGAAAGAAAGAAAUGCUCGCGGUUUUGAAGG
RNAcentral lists this long non-coding RNA (2070 nucleotides) under Capsicum annuum. RNAcentral's name for it is "long non-coding RNA (CANN_LNC018425)". Lineage: Eukaryota; Viridiplantae; Streptophyta; Magnoliopsida; Solanales; Solanaceae. The record is from RNAcentral.